AGGACGAACGCUGGCGGCCGUGCCUAACACAUGCAAGUCGAGCGAUGAAGUCCUCGGAACGGAUAGCGGCGGACGGGUGAGUAACACGUGGGUAACCUGCCUCCAAAGAGGGGGGAUAGCCUCCCGAAAGGGAGAUUAAUACCGCAUAACAUAUUUCUCGCAUGAGAAGAUAAUCAAAGGGAGUAAUCCGCUUUGAGAUGGACCCGCGGCGCAUUAGCUAGUUGGUGAGGUAACGGCUCACCAAGGCGACCGAUGCGUAGCCGACCUGAGAGGGUGAUCGGCCACAUUGGAACUGAGACACGGUCCAGACUCCUACGGGAGGCAGCAGUGGGGAAUAUUGCGCAAUGGGGGAAACCCUGACGCCAGCAACGCCGCGUGAGUGAUGAAGGUCUUCGGAUUGUAAAGCUCUGUCUUUGGGGACGAUAAUGACGGUACCCAAGGAGGAAGCCACGGCUAACUACGUGCCAGCCGCCGC
This 475-nucleotide ribosomal RNA is filed under the name uncultured bacterium. Its description in RNAcentral is "bacterial SSU rRNA". It matches the Rfam family "Bacterial small subunit ribosomal RNA", at positions 26 to 518 of the family's 1533-position model. The record is from RNAcentral.